Molecule: ribosomal RNA, 251 nt
Filed under: uncultured prokaryote
Description: partial 16S rRNA
Rfam family: Bacterial small subunit ribosomal RNA
Source: RNAcentral
AAAGAGGAGGCAAGCGUUGUUCGGAAUCACUGGGCUUAAAGCGCGUGUAGGCGGCCGAGUAAGUGUUGUGUGAAAGCCCGCGGCUCAACCGCGGAACGGCACGGCAAACUGCUCGGCUUGAGGUCGGUAGAGGUGCCUGGAACUCUAGGUGGAGCGGUGAAAUGCGUAGAUAUCUAGAGGAAGGGCGGAGGCGAAGGCGGGGCACUGUGCCGGUUCUGACGCUGAGGCGCGAAAGCGUGGGGAGCAAACAU